Molecule: long non-coding RNA, 195 nt
Filed under: Chinchilla lanigera (long-tailed chinchilla)
Lineage: Eukaryota; Metazoa; Chordata; Mammalia; Rodentia; Chinchillidae
Description: lncRNA (ENSCLAG00000024225.1)
Source: RNAcentral
UUUAUAAACCUGGUGGUAAAUGUUACUUGGGUUUUCUGAAACAAUCAUUUCUUUCUUUUAGUUUUAGCAUUUGAAAGACAUUUUGAAGGAAUGAUCAAGAAACAAUCACACAUAUUUGCAUCUCAUUGUGGAGACAGAGGGACAAACUUUAACUAUAACUUUAUUCGUGUUUGCAAAUCUGUGACAGUGACGUAG